AACUCUGAGCGGUGGAUCACUCGGCUCGUGCGUCGAUGAAGAGCGCAGCCAACUGCGUGAAUUAGUGUGAAUUGCAGGAUAUCUUGAACAUCGACAUCUUGAACGCAUAUUGCGGCCUCAGGUCUCCCCUGUGGCCACGCCUGGCCGAGGGUCG
This is a non-coding RNA of Macrostomum lignano, 154 nucleotides long. NCBI's taxonomy places the organism in Eukaryota, Metazoa, Platyhelminthes, Macrostomidae. The record is from Rfam.